Rattus norvegicus (Norway rat) is the source of this 3541-nucleotide long non-coding RNA. RefSeq lists it as uncharacterized. Lineage: Eukaryota; Metazoa; Chordata; Mammalia; Rodentia; Muridae. The record is from RefSeq and is a predicted model, not a curated record.
GUCACAGAAGCCUGGGACCACAUCUUGAGUCUGCUGUUUUAUAUCUGUAUGCCCCUAGCUCCGUGCAAAUCAGUGUAUAUAUUUUUUUCUACCCUGCACUCCCACUGACUAUAUUAUACUCCUGGGGCUCUUCAAGUGGAGGGGACACGCAGCUCUGCUCACGGAUGGCAGGUUGGCCUAUAAAGACAAGGACUUGGUCUAGAGGAAGGUUUUUUCCAUCUCCGUAAGCUUCAUCUGGAUGGCCCGACAUGGCCACGCCCAGGUCAACACUUCAUUCAGAACUUCAUUCUCUCUUGACACCUUCACUCAUGGCUUCCCUGGUUCUUCAUACCUGGAUAGGGGACGGAAUUCUCCUGUUCUUUCAGGGAAGCAUACUGCUGAUGGCUGAAUGCACCAGAUCUGAAGUCCUUGUUGGUUCACAGAGUCCCUAAAUAACAUAGGGAUUGACUCCGGUCUUUCUCCCUCCUGUUCGUAGUCACUGUAGAGCUGAGGAUAAGGGUGAUGAAACAGCUGCCUUCUGCUUCUUUGGUUACCUGAAAGACACUGACAUUCUGACUAGAAUGCCUGGAGAUUCCAUUUCUAUUCCUGCAUCUGCCACGAGUCCCGGAGGAGCUCUGGAAGGGUGCCUGUGACUCUGUAGUUCUAGGAUCCUGCCUCUAUUCCACCUCGAAUCUACAACCUUGUCGAGCGUGUCUAAUUCGCAUUUGUAAACACGAUGGUAAAGCAAGACAGGAUGUGAAGUAAAAUUUCCCAAACUAGGUCCCCUGUCCUGUAGCACUUUUGAUGAAGAACCAGUUUCCUAUUCAAACUGUUUAAAUUCGCCGUCAAAGAGUCAUUAGCUACGGUCCCAUUACUAAUGUCCUAUUACAAGGUAGUGAUUGAAACUUUCCCCCAGUAUUUCUUAGCAACUGUCCUCAGAUAUGACUUCUAUGGCUCAGUGCACUUGUUUCGUUAGGCCCUUUAUGGUUCAGACACACUGACUGUAUGUAGACAUGCCCGGCAGUACUCUCUUAAUUGGCAGUAAGAAUUUACUAUAUGAUCUGUGUUUGAGCGCUGUUAGAUAAUUUUUUCCCCUGCAAAGGAAAGAAAGCACGUAGCAUCUAGAAGAUAAUAAACUUUUCACACGGGCGUUUAAUGUGACCAUUUCCAGGGCAACACAUGAGAGACAGUCAAGUCUGCUGCUUUACUUUGGUUAGUAGGAACCCGGCUGGCCGUGGUAAUUCAAACACCACUGCAUUGUAAAGUGAGUUUGGACUGAGAUAGGACGCCUGUACUUUGCAAUUUUUUAAUACCAAGAUUCUAAAAAAAUUGACAUUGGAAUAACCCAAAGGAGUACAGAAGUCACCAACUUUUUGCUGAGAGGAGGAAUCUAAGGACUCAGAUUGCAACAGUCGGGUGAUCUACUUGUGUGCUGUGGAUAAACUGUGAGGGACAGUUCCUCAACAAUAUCCGAUUUUAUUUACAGGCCUUUUCCUCCACGUGAGCAAUAGGUUGAUAUCCCCACCCAGCAUUCACCUCAGAGACUUGUGCUUGCCUAACUUGCCCAGAGUUCCGAAUACAAUAUUGUGGGGCAGGCCUGAGGUGUUUUCAGACUUACUGUAAUAUAUGGUAGUCUUGGAAAGAUGCUAUUAUCAGUCCCCUACUGGAAUUUCUAUUAAUUUAUAGCAUUUGAAACAAAUUAUAAUAAACAAGCGCUUUUUGUCUCAGCGUCAUAUAUCUUAUUGUCUACAUGAGGUGAAGAGAAGCUGAUUAAAUUAGCACAACCUUCCUCUGUGUUGAGACAUGGCGUUUUAUUGGCAAUAGUAUAUAUCAUUUCACAACAAAUUCCGCUGUGAUUUUUCUUAAGCCUGUUAGCUUGAUUCUAUUCAAUCAAUAGGAAACGUUCCUGAGACAAGUAUUGCUAGUAAAUUCUUAUUCUUUCUCCAGGACACAUUAUAGUUUAACUUGUCAGAAAUAUUUCCAUGUACACAAUAAAACGGAUCUCUGUCAAACAGAAGCUGUUAACGAAACCCUCCUCACACACCGGGGACUGCAGUCAGUGGUACACAGUAGAUCACUUUGCCACCUCUUUUCUAUGUGAGAAACAAAGGAAACUACAUGUGUAUAUUAGAACUGAUUAGCACUGUACCCUAAAGCAAUUAAAUAAAUAUUAGAAGAAACUCCCACAGCCUUUUGUUUUGCUAUAAGGGGCUCAGCUGUGCUCCCUCUAACCCUAACUACAUCACUUCAAAUUACCAGUAAAUUAACAGAGGAACACUUUCAACCUCAGAGCAGAUUUGAUCCAAAUAGUCUUUAAAUGCCAUUUCUGUUCCUAUUAACCUAAAGAUCGGCAUAGCAGAUAUUUUCUCGGGGCUGCCCAGCAGUCCAGGGCAUUAAUGGUGAAGUUGUGACAGCCCUUUUCAUGAUGAUUUAUGAUUCCGUGUUUAACUUGAUUACGCCAAUGCUGACUCUGAAUACUAUUUCAAUUAGUGCACAGAAGGUCACAUCACAAAUAUCCCUCUAUAAUCUAUUCCUAUUAACACUAAUACACAGAGUAACCAAAUCUUUUCACCCUUGCUGAUUCUCAUCAUCCGGAGCCCUAACUGCAGGCGCCUUUACCAGUUUACUGCGUUGGACACUUCCGAAAUGGUAAUUUUCCCUCCUUGGAGUAUCACUAAUAGCCGGAGCCGUGACACGAAGAAGAAAGUGAGUCUCUGGGCUGGCAUUUGUGUAUUAAUAAUUACCAAAGUCUCCGAUUUAUUAAACAGGAGAUAUGCUUUCUAAAAUGCCUGUCUGAAGCACUAUUUCAUGACCAAUUACUAAAUAAAUAUACAAAAGAUUUUUGGGGGGGGGUAAUGAAAGCAGCUUACACCUAAAAUCAAUUUUAGCAGUAACUAAGUCUCCUCUCAUUAUUCUUCUAAGGACUCUGGGGAAUCACUCUCAUUUAUAUGUAACCAAUCAUAAUCUUGUUUUCUUUCCCUUUCUAUCUUUUAUUUUUUCCCCUCUAAUUUUUUUUUGGGGGGGGACUAAUUUCUACGUCUAACCAUUGGGGAAAACAAAGAAUAUUGGGUCAUCAGGCCUUUCCUUCCUUCCUGUGAACUGCUUAUAAACAGUCCCUGUGGUACAGAAUUAAGACUACAAAGAAGAAUGGAGUUUUAUUGAGAAAAAAGAAAAAAAAAACUUUUCAAUUUGUCCAAAGGUUAAAGUGAAACCAACUGCUAAAGACAAAAAUCCACACAUCAUUUAAACAAUUAGUGAGGAAUGUUCAAAGACUUUAUGUUCAAAGUGCACACAAUCUGGAUUUUAAGUCGUAUGUGGAGGCAAUCGAGAUGGAAAGUUAAUUAACAAUAAACCGAGAGGGCUUCAUCACAGCCGUUUAACUAUGCGCAGAGAGGCUGGCGUCCAGCGGAGAGCUUGGUGGGAAGUGAGAGUGGGAAGUUGGAAAGUCACUGUGCUCAGUGGGCCCCCAAUAAAUGCUUUAUUAACAGUGAUGAUGUCAGUCUUGCAAAAUAUUAAAGGGGACUUGUCUCCGUGGUUUGCUUUUUUAAUUCUUUUUUUUUGA